UCAAACCAAAAUGAUGAACCCACAUACGCCACCAUCCCCGACCUGCCACAGACUGGAACCCUGCCCGACUCGACAUAUUCCUUGAUUGGUUCCACUUUUCACGCUGGCAGUAAUAAAGGUUUAUUGAAGCAGGACGACCCCACAUACGCCACCAUCACCCACCUGCCAAACAACACAGACAUGAACGGUAACACCUCUGCUGGCACAAACUCUCAAAGCAGUUUAUAAACUGUAUUCAUUCAUA
This is a non-coding RNA of Neolamprologus brichardi, 244 nucleotides long. NCBI's taxonomy places the organism in Eukaryota, Metazoa, Chordata, Actinopteri, Cichliformes, Cichlidae. The record is from RefSeq and is a predicted model, not a curated record.